RNAcentral lists this ribosomal RNA (492 nucleotides) under uncultured bacterium. Its description in RNAcentral is "partial 16S ribosomal RNA". It matches the Rfam family "Bacterial small subunit ribosomal RNA", at positions 29 to 507 of the family's 1533-position model. The record is from RNAcentral.
AGUGAACGCUGGCGGUAGACCUAACACAUGCAAGUCGAACGGCAGCACAGUAAGAGCUUGCUCUUACGGGUGGCGAGUGGCGGACGGGUGAGGAAUACAUCGGAAUCUACUUUUUCGUGGGGGAUAACGUAGGGAAACUUACGCUAAUACCGCAUACGACCUACGGGUGAAAGCAGGGGAUCUUCGGCCCUUGCGCGAUUGAAUGAGCCGAUGUCGGAUUAGCUAGUUGGCGGGGUAAAGGCCCACCAAGGCGACGAUCCGUAGCUGGUCUGAGAGGAUGAUCAGCCACAAUGGGACUGAGACACGGUCCAGACUCCUACGGGAGGCAGGAGUGGGGAAUAUUGGACAAUGGGGGCAAGCCUGAUCCAGCCAUACCGCGUGGGUGAAGAAGGCCUUCGGGUUGUAAAGCCCUUUUGUUGGGAAAGAAAAGCAGCAGGUUAAUACCCCGCUGUUCUGACGGUACCCAAAGAAUAAGCACCGGCUAACUUCGUG